This 223-nucleotide long non-coding RNA is filed under the name Numida meleagris (helmeted guineafowl). RNAcentral's name for it is "lncRNA (ENSNMEG00000014482.1)". The record is from RNAcentral. Lineage: Eukaryota; Metazoa; Chordata; Aves; Galliformes; Numididae.
UUCAGUUGAUUUACAGAUACCGCACGUGGAUCAAGUUGUUUUUGACUUACACCAAAAUAGCUUCAAAUGCAGGUGCCAGGGACUAUCAGCACAGUAGGAAAAAAAACAUUUUAGAAGAGCUUUCUUACCUGGAGCAAUAAAUCCACAAUCAAUCGUACGUGAACAAACAUGAGCAGGAAACUGGCUACCUCAGACUCAUCUAAAUUUAUCUGGAAAGCAAUGU